GACGAACGCUGGCGGCGUGCUUAACACAUGCAAGUCGAACGGAAAGGCCCUGCUUUUGCGGGGUGCUCGAGUGGCGAACGGGUGAGUAAUACGUGAGUAACCUCUCCUUGACUUUGGGAUAACAUCAGGAAACUGGGGCUAAUACCGGAUAGGAGCUCCUGCAGCAUGGUGGGGGUUGGAAAGUUUCGGCGGUUGGGGAUGGACUCGCGGCUUAUGAGCUUGUUGGUCGGGUAGGUGCUUACCAAGGCUUUGACGGGUAGCCGGCCUGAGAGGGUGGCCGGCCACCUUGGGACUGAGGUACGGCCCAGACUCCUACGUGAGGCAGCAGUGGAGAAUAUUGCACAAUGGGCGGAAGCCUGAUACAGCAACGCCCCGUGCGUGAUGACGGCCUUCGGGUUGUAAACCGCUUUCGCCUGUGACGAAGCGUGAGUGACGGUAAUGAGUAAAAAAGCACCGGCUAACUACGUG
Molecule: ribosomal RNA, 468 nt
Filed under: uncultured bacterium
Lineage: Bacteria
Description: partial 16S ribosomal RNA
Rfam family: Bacterial small subunit ribosomal RNA
Source: RNAcentral